RNAcentral lists this ribosomal RNA (325 nucleotides) under uncultured eukaryote. RNAcentral describes it as "partial 18S ribosomal RNA". It matches the Rfam family "Eukaryotic small subunit ribosomal RNA", at positions 1470 to 1796 of the family's 1831-position model. The record is from RNAcentral.
CCCUUAGAUGUCCUGGGCCGCACGCGCGCUACACUGAUGCAUUCAACGAGUAUUUCCUUGGCCGGGAGGCCUGGGCAAUCUUUUAAACCUGCAUCGUGAUAGGGAUAGAUUAUUGCAAUUAUUAAUCUUGAACGAGGAAUUCCUAGUAAACGCAAAUCAUCAAUUUGCAUUGAUUACGUCCCUGCCCUUUGUACACACCGCCCGUCGCACCUACCGAUUGAAUGGUCCGGUGAAAUCUCGGGAUUGUGGCCAGUUCACUUUAUUGGGAGUUGGCUGCGAGAACUUGCUUAAACCUUAUCAUUUAGAGGAAGGUGAAGUCGUAACA